Molecule: unclassified non-coding RNA, 1310 nt
Filed under: Hevea brasiliensis (rubber tree)
Lineage: Eukaryota; Viridiplantae; Streptophyta; Magnoliopsida; Malpighiales; Euphorbiaceae
Source: RNAcentral
AAGAACAGCAUUGGCAACAUCAGUGGCUUCAGCUCUAGUUGGUCGGGGUGACUUGAUCAUGGACUCCAACAUCUGGGUUGCAGUAACAACGGGUUUUCCUUGAAUAUUGCACUUGUAGAUCAUCACUUUCUGUGCUAGAAAAAUCUUUUCAAUUGGAAUUUCCAUUCCAAGGUCACCACGUGCAACCAUAAAUGCAUCUGAAUUUGCUAAGAUAUCAUCAAAAUUAGCAACCCCUUCUUGGUUUUCAACCUUUGACAUGAGAAGGAUAUUCUUAGCAUUUUUCCCGAGCAACUUCCGUACUUCAACGAGAUCUGAUCCUUUUCGUACAAAAGAUAGAGCAAUCAUGUCAAUUUGAUUGGGAACUCCCCACUUCAAAAUAUCUUCCUUGUCUUUCUCUGUCAAAGUUGGAAGAUCCACUAUCACUCCAGGAAGAUUAACAUUUUUCCUCUCACCGAGAACUGCAGAGUUCUCACACCGACAUCGAACCAAACCCGCUUUAAUGUCACAUGAUAGAACUGUAAAUGAGAUUGUGCCGUCUGCACAAAGUAUAACCAUCCCAGGCUUGACAUCCACAGCCAACUUUUUGUAGCUCAUGCAAAUCAUAUUCUCAUUGCCUUUUAUGCUGUAGUCAGUAGAUAUAGUGAUUUCUUGACCCUGCUUAAGCUGAAUGGGUUUGCCAUCCUUCAAGAACCCAGUUCGAAUUUCUGGUCCCUUGGUGUCAAGCAUGACAGCACAGAGAAUACCAGUGUUAACCAUGGCGGCCCUGAGAUUGUCAAGGGUUUCCUGGUGGUACUCAUGAGAUCCAUGAGAGAAGUUAAAGCGAGCGACGUUCAUGCCAGCCUUCAACAGCUUUUCGAUCAUAGGCACAGAUCUGGAUGCGGGUCCAAGGGUGCAAACAAUCUUCGUCUUGGGCUUCUUCUCCAUUAUAACAGCCUCUGCUUCGCCGUUGUUCAUUUCUGAUAUCACUAAAAAAUGGCUCUCUAUAUAUAUAUAUUGGCAAAAGGGUACAAAAAAGAAGGAAAACAAUAAGACCCGGAUUGUUAUCGCGGAAGAUGGAGAGAGCUGUGUACGUGAGAGAUAUAAGAAGGGAGUUAGAGACUUAGAAAGCGAAAGAAAAGAGAUGGGUUAUGUGAUUGGCAAGGGAAAGGUUUGAUUUUUAAGAAGACAACUAGUAUUCCUUGAGGAAGAAGACGUAAAAUAAGGGCAAGGAUUCGAGAGCUCUUGCGGCAGCAUUUGGUUUGGGCCUCGGUUUUUUUAUGAAACGACAGGCAGUUUCCAAAUGGUUUGGGCAACCAUAAAAAGGAGUUUUA